CAGAGGGUGCGAGCGUUGUCCGGAAUCACUGGGCGUAAAGGGCGCGUAGGCGGCUUUUCAAGCGUGCGGUGAAAGCUCGGGGCUUAACUCCGAGUCUGCCGUGCGAACUGGGAGGCUUGAGUCUGGUAGAGGUCGAUGGAAUUCCGGGUGUAGCGGUGGAUGCGUAGAGAUCCGGAAGAACACCGGUGGCGAAGGCGGUCGACUGGGCCAGAACUGACGCUGAGGCGCGACAGCGUGGGGAGCAAACAGGAUUAGAUACCCUGGUAGUCCACGCCGUAAACGAUGGGCACUAGGUCCUUGGGGGAGCGACCCCUUGAGGGCCGGCGCUAACGCAUUAAGUGCCCCGCCUGGGGAGUACGGCCGCAAGGCUG
This 371-nucleotide ribosomal RNA is filed under the name uncultured organism. RNAcentral describes it as "bacterial SSU rRNA". It matches the Rfam family "Bacterial small subunit ribosomal RNA", at positions 526 to 896 of the family's 1533-position model. The record is from RNAcentral.